UGGGGCUGAGCUGGGCCUCCGGAGCUCCUCCACGGGAAAAGCUGCCCUUGGCGGGGGGGAAUGCAGCUCCCGGCCCACCCCCGCGGCCUUGCCUGAGGGUGACGGGGGCCCCUCCCCGUCUUCAUGAGGGGGAGAGCGCACCUGCCAAGGAUUCGGGUGGAAGUGCCUUGGAGAGGAGAGUUUGGGUGGCAGAGGGGACGAUUGCUCCCAGGAGGGAUUCCCGGUUCUCCUGGGCAUCCCCCACGCUGUGAGGGAGGGAGCAGCCACUGCCCGAGUCAAGGUUUUGGAAGGUUUACUUGAUUGCACAGCACUUGGAAGACUUUGAUGCACUUGUAACACCCACGUGAGGUAGGGUGUAUGGCUACCUUCACAGCAGCAACAGGAGGACCCACAGAAAUAAGAUCACCACUUGGAAGGAGCUGUGAUAUCAAGUCUGUUCUUAUUCUGCACUCUGGAAUGGGGCCCUGCUCUCUCAUCCUGGCUCUCUGGAAGUGCAUGAGAGGUAAUACUGUGUGAGAUUGGUGUCUGAAGCAGUGGAGCAGGAACUGACAUUCAGCAGAGACAAAUGCAGGGUCCUGCACCUGUGGAGGAACAACUCCAGGCACCAGCAGAGGCUGGGGACCGA
Molecule: non-coding RNA, 625 nt
Organism: Cyanistes caeruleus (blue tit)
Lineage: Eukaryota; Metazoa; Chordata; Aves; Passeriformes; Paridae
Source: RefSeq, a predicted model, not a curated record